CCCUUAGAUGUUCUGGGCCGCACGCGUGCUACACUGAACGGUUCAAUGGGUGAGGUAGUGCGAAAGCAUAACCUAAUCUCGAAAUCCGUUCGUGCUGGGGAUAGAAGCUUGCAAUUAUCCUUCUUGAACGAGGAAUACCUUGUAGGCGUGAGUCAUCAUCUCGCGCCGAAUACGUCCCUGCCCUUUGUACACACCGCCCGUCGCUCCUACCGAUUGAGUGUUCCGGUGAGGCUUUGGGAGAGCUGGGUGGAUUGUGUUUCACGAACUGCUCGGUUUGAACUUAGUCAAACCUUAUCACUUAGAGGAAGGAGAANUCGUANCA
This 322-nucleotide ribosomal RNA is filed under the name uncultured eukaryote. RNAcentral's name for it is "partial 18S ribosomal RNA". It matches the Rfam family "Eukaryotic small subunit ribosomal RNA", at positions 1470 to 1796 of the family's 1831-position model. The record is from RNAcentral.